Molecule: ribosomal RNA, 338 nt
Filed under: uncultured bacterium
Lineage: Bacteria
Description: bacterial SSU rRNA
Rfam family: Bacterial small subunit ribosomal RNA
Source: RNAcentral
AGAGACGAGUCAGAGUUUGAUCCUGGCUCAGGACGAACGCUGGCGGCGUGCUUAACACAUGCAAGUCGAACGGGGUAACUCCUUCGGGGGUUACUUAGUGGCGAACGGGUGAGUAACGCGUGAGGAACCUGCCUUCCAGUGGGGGGACAACAGUUGGAAACGACUGCUAAUACCGCAUAAUACUUUUGAGCGGCAUCGCUUAAAAGUCAAAGCUUUAUGUGCUGGAAGAUGGCCUCGCGUCUGAUUAGCUAGUUGGUGGGGUAACGGCCCACCAAGGCGACGAUCAGUAGCCGGACUGAGAGGUUGAACGGCCACAUUGGGACUGAGAUACGGCCCAG